CAGACAGACUGGGGAGAAGACACAGAGCCAAGCAGGACCUGGCCUGCAGCCCAAACCCUGUGGAAUCCCUACAUUCAAGGACCAGGUUGAAGUGAAGCCAUUGACAGGAACUGAGAUGCAGUAGUGUUCUGGAAGUCAAGUGAGGAGGAGGAUUGAAGAAGAGGUUGGUCAAAAUUCUGGGGGUUGCCCAGUGGAAACACCAGACUGCAAAGCUUUGAGAAGUCUGUAUGAGAUGAACAACUGGAAAAGGUUCUUCGUGAAGAAUUUGUGUGGUGAAGAGCUGGAAUAGCGGCUUGAGGGAGAGAAGCCAGCACUAUUCACAAUAGCCAAGAUUUGGAAGUAACCCAAAUGUCCAUCAACAGACAAAUGGAUAAAGAAAAUGUGGUGCAUAUACACAAUGGAGUAGUAUUCAGCCAUAAAAAAGAAUGAGAUCUUGUCAUCUGCAACAACAUGGAUGGAACUGGAGGUCCUUAAGGUUAAGCAAAAUAAUCCAGGCACAGAAAGAAAACAUUGCAUGUUCUCAUCUAUUUGUGAGAACUAAAAAUUAAAACAAUUGAACUCAUGGAGAUAGAGAGUAGAAGGAUGGUUACCAGAGGCUGGGAAGGGUAGUGAGGGCGAGUGAGGGGGAAGUGGGGUGUUUAAUGUGUCCAAAAAAUGGUCAGAAACAAUGAAUAAAGUCUAAUAUAUGACAGCAAAAGAGUGUGACUAUAGUCAAUAAUAAUCGAAUGGUACAUUUAAAAAUAACUAAAAGUGUAUAUUUGGAUUGUUUGUAACAUAAA
This 779-nucleotide long non-coding RNA is filed under the name Homo sapiens (human). Its description in RNAcentral is "HSALNT0393404". The record is from RNAcentral. Lineage: Eukaryota; Metazoa; Chordata; Mammalia; Primates; Hominidae.